This 110-nucleotide small RNA is filed under the name Marmota monax (woodchuck). Lineage: Eukaryota; Metazoa; Chordata; Mammalia; Rodentia; Sciuridae. The record is from RNAcentral.
GCUGGGCAUGGAUGGUGGUGCAUACCUGUAAUCCCAGUACCUUGAGAGGCUGAGUCAGGAGGAUUACAAGUUUAAGGCCAGGUUGGCAAUUUAGUAAGACCUUGAUUCAA